RNAcentral lists this ribosomal RNA (724 nucleotides) under uncultured bacterium. RNAcentral describes it as "bacterial SSU rRNA". It matches the Rfam family "Bacterial small subunit ribosomal RNA", at positions 728 to 1453 of the family's 1533-position model. The record is from RNAcentral.
CCUGGGAUAAUANUGACGUUCAUGCUCGAAAGCGUGGGUAGCAAACAGGAUUAGAUACCCUGGUAGUCCACGCCCUAAACGAUGUCGAUUAGCUGUUGGGCAGCNUGACUGCUUAGUAGCGUAGCUAACGCGUGAAAUCGACCGCCUGGGGAGUACGGUCGCAAGACUAAAACUCAAAGGAAUUGACGGGGACCCGCACAAGCGGUGGAUGAUGUGGAUUAAUUCGAUGCAACGCGAAGAACCUUACCUGGUCUUGACAUGUACGGAACCNNNCAGAGACGGAAGGGUGCCUUCGGGAGCCGUAACACAGGUGCUGCAUGGCUGUCGUCAGCUCGUGUCGUGAGAUGUUGGGUUAAGUCCCGCAACGAGCGCAACCCUUGUCAUUAGUUGCCAUCAUUCAGUUGGGCACUCUAAUGAGACUGCCGGUGACAAACCGGAGGAAGGUGGGGAUGACGUCAAGUCCUCAUGGCCCUUAUGACCAGGGCUUCACACGUCAUACAAUGGUCGGUACANAGGGUAGCCAAGCCGCGAGGCGGAGCCAAUCUCAUAAAACCGAUCGUAGUCCGGAUUGCACUCUGCAACUCGAGUGCAUGAAGUCGGAAUCGCUAGUAAUCGCAGGUCAGCAUACUGCGGUGAAUACGUUCCCGGGUCUUGUACACACCGCCCGUCACACCAUGGGAGUGGGGGAUACCAGAAGUAGGUAGGGUAACCGCAAGGAGCCCGC